AGAGCGUAGGGAGGAUACCUAGGCACCAAGAGCCGAAGAAGGACGUGAUAAGCUGCGAAAAGCUAUGGUAAGGAGCAAAUAUCCUAUGACCCAUAGAUAUCCGAAUGAGGGAACUCAUCCACAGAAAAAAGUGUGGAUAUCCAUAUAUGAGUAAAGUAGUAUAUAGGAAGGGAACGCAAGGAACUGAAACAUCUUAGUACUUGUAGGAAGAGAAAGAAAAAUCGAUUCUGUGAGUAGUGGCGAGCGAAAGCGGAAGAGCCCAAACCAAUGUUGCUUGCAACGUUGGGGUUCGGACUACAUAAUCCAUUUAUCGAGCGAAUAAGAAUUGUUUGGGAAGGCAAAUCAUAGAAGGUGAAAAUCCUGUAUUAGAAGUGAGAUAGAGGAGGUAGUAUCCAGAGUAGUGCGAGGCACGUGAAACCUCGUAUGAAAGAGCGGGGACCACCCCGUAAGGCUAAAUACUACUUGGUGACCGAUAGAGAUUAGUACCGUGAGGGAAAGGUGAAAAGAACCCCGGGAGGGGAGUGAAAUAGAACAUGAAACCCUAUGCUUACAAACAGACAAAGCACGUUAAGGUGUGAUGUCGUACUUUUUGUAGAACGGUCCAGCGAGUUAUUGUAUAUGGCAAGGUUAAGCACUAUGUAAGGUGUGAAGCCGAAGCGAAAGCGAGUCUGAAAAGGGCGAAUUAAGUCAUAUGUAAUAGACCCGAAACCGGGUGACCUAACCAUGGUCAGGAUGAAGCUUGAGUAAAAUCAAGUGGAGGUCCGAACUGAUAAGCGUUAAAAAGCUUCCGGAUGAACUGUGGUUAGCGGAGAAAUUCCAAUCGAACUCGGAGAUAGCUGGUUCUCCUCGAAAUAGCUUUAGGGCUAGCCUUGAUGUAAAGAUAUAUGGGGGUAGAGCACUGAAGGUGCUAGGGGCCUAAACCAGGUUACUGAACACUAUCAAACUCCGAAUACCAUAUAUUAGUAGUCAGGAGUCAGACUGCGGGAGCUAAGUUCCGUGGUCAAAAGGGAAAGAGCCCAGAUCGUCAAUUAAGGUCCCAAAGAUAUAGCUAAGUGGGAAACGAUGUGAAAUUGCGUAAACAACCAGGAUGUUGGCUUAGAAGCAGCCAUACAUUUAAAGAGUGCGUAAUAGCUCACUGGUCGAGUGAAUUUGCGCGGAAAAUUACCGGGGCUAAGCUAUACACCGAAAUUGCGGGUUAUGAUGUAUCUAAUAAUGUGUAUCAGAAGGGUACAUAUUAUUAGAUACAUUGUAGCGGUAGAGGAGCAUUCUGUAGUAGGGUGAAGUAUGAUCGAAAGGACAUAUGGACGAGGCAGAAGAGAGAAUGCUGGAAUAAGUAGCGAGAGCAAAGUGAGAAUCUUUGCCGUCGAAAGUCUAAGGUUUCCUGGGGAAGGUUCGUCCGCCCAGGGUAAGUCGGGACCUAAGGUGAGGCCAAGGAGGCGUAGCCGAUGGAUAGCAGGUAUAAAAUUCCUGCACUACCGAAAUACUUAAAAACGAUAAGGGACGCAGGAGAGGAAGGAAAUCCGGGAAGAGGAAAAACCGGAGCCGAAAGGCAUAGUGAAAAUUUAAAGUAACGAAGUUCCAAGAAUCACACUGACGAGAAAAGCUUAUUGACAUUGUAUUAAGGUACCCGUACCGCAAACCGACACAGGUAGAUGAGGAGAGGAUCCUAAGACGAGCGAGAGAAGUACUGUUAAGGAACUCGGCAAACUAACCCCGUAACUUAGGGAGAAGGGGUACCUAUGUAAAAGUAGGUCGCAGAGAAGAGUCCCAAGCAACUGUUUAACAAAAACACAGGUUUCUGCUAAAUCGAAAGAUGAAGUAUAGGAGCUGACGCCUGCCCAGUGCUGGAAGGUCAAGGGGAGAUGUUAGAAGAAAUUCGAAGCAUAGAACCAAAGCCCCAGUGAACGGCGGCCGUAACUAUAACGGUCCUAAGGUAGCGAAAUUCCUUGUCAGGUAAGUUCUGACCCGCACGAAAGGCGUAAUGAUUUGGGCACUGUCUCGACAAUGUACCCGGCGAAAUUGUAGUACUAGUGAAGAUGCUAGUUACCUGCGACAAGACAGAAAGACCCCAUGGAGCUUUACUGUAGCUUGAUAUUGGGUUUCGGUAAUUUAUGUACAGGAUAGGUGGGAGACUAUGAAGCAAGAGCGUCAGCUUUUGUGGAGUCACCCUUGGGAUACCACCCUUAAAUUAUUGGAAUUCUAACCUGUGAUCAUGAACUGGUCAGGGGACAAUGUCAGGCGGGCAGUUUGACUGGGGCGGUCGCCUCCUAAAGAGUAACGGAGGCGCCCAAAGGUUUCCUCAACCCGGACAGAAAUCGGGUGAAAGAGUGCAAAGGCAGAAGGAAGCUUAACUGAAAGACAGACAUGUCGAGCAGAUACGAAAGUAGGGCUUAGUGAUCCGGUGGUAUGUGAGUGGAAAUGCCAUCGCUCAACGGACAAAAGUUACCCUGGGGAUAACAGGCUUAUCUCCCCCAAGAGUUCACAUCGACGGGGAGGUUUGGCACCUCGAUGUCGGCUCAUCGCAUCCUGGAGCGGAAGUACGUUCCAAGGGUUGGGCUGUUCGCCCAUUAAAGCGGUACGCGAGCUGGGUUCAGAACGUCGUGAGACAGUUCGGUCCUUAUCUGUCGCAGGCGCAGGAUAUUUGAAGGGAGUUGUCCUUAGUACGAGAGGACCAGGAUGAACAUACCGAUGGUGCAACAGUUGUCACACCAGUGGCAUAGCUGUGUAGCUAAGUAUGGAAGGGAUAAACGCUGAAAGCAUCUAAGUGUGAAGCCCACCCUAAGAUAAGAUAUCCCACAACGUUAAGUUGG
This 2810-nucleotide ribosomal RNA is filed under the name human gut metagenome. RNAcentral describes it as "bacterial LSU rRNA". It matches the Rfam family "Bacterial large subunit ribosomal RNA". The record is from RNAcentral.